RNAcentral lists this ribosomal RNA (230 nucleotides) under uncultured bacterium. RNAcentral describes it as "partial 16S ribosomal RNA". It matches the Rfam family "Bacterial small subunit ribosomal RNA", at positions 104 to 334 of the family's 1533-position model. The record is from RNAcentral.
CGGGGUGAGUAAUGUAUGGGGAUCUGCCUGAUGGCGGGGGAUAACUACUGGAAACGGUAGCUAAUACCGCAUAAUGUCUACGGACCAAAGCGGGGGGACCUCCGGGCCUCGCGCCAUCAGAUGAACCCAUAUGGGAUUAGCUAGUAGGUGAGGUAACGGCUUACCUAGGCGACGAUCCCUAGCUGGUCUGAGAGGAUGAUCAGCCACACUGGGACUGAGACACGGCCCAG